This is a long non-coding RNA of Vicia villosa (hairy vetch), 735 nucleotides long. RefSeq lists it as uncharacterized. The transcript is spliced from 3 exons. The record is from RefSeq and is a predicted model, not a curated record. Lineage: Eukaryota; Viridiplantae; Streptophyta; Magnoliopsida; Fabales; Fabaceae.
UGAAUAAGCUGUUUUAUGGGUGAUUGCAAAAUCAAUAUUCCUCUCUUUCUGCUGGCUGUAGGUAGAUAAAAGGCUUAGACAUCAAAAGGAUCUUCAUAUAAGAUAAAACAGUCAAGAGAAGAGAAAGAAUCAUAUAAAGUCACUUCUUUUCCCUGCAACUGACCGUGAACCUAUAUGUCUAUAUGCAUUUGUACUUUUAUUGACAUAAUAAUCUGUGUACACUAAAGAGCAUUCAAAAGUGCCUCCUAAAAUUCAAUCUCCUUUAUAAGAGGUCUCACUAAGGAUGAAAUGAAGCAACUUCUAAAGAGGGGGUGGAUGUUGGUUCAUGUGUCAACUACAUGUAACCUGGUGUUGUUUGCAGGAUCUUGGCGAUCGAGUGAGAUCAUUUGCAAUCAUUGCAUCAACACCUGAUUAUCUUUUGGAACUCGUGCAUCAACACUAAAUGUCAUUACUAAUCCUGUUGGAUUAGCUGCUGUUGUUCUAAUUGUCAAGUACAUAUGGUGGAUCGAUCUAACCGGAGCUAUUAUAAAUGCAUUAUAGAUAAUAAAUAUAUGGACAAAGUUAUAUUUCGGAUUUCUAAUCCUAUUGGAUUAGCUGCUGUUGUUCUAAAUGCAUUAUGAAAUUUAUUGUUGACAGGUUUAUAACAAUUAUAAGAACUUAGAUUAGACACCAAUCUUACCUAAAUUGUAUAUUUCGUUUUUGAAAUAGUGGUGAUGCAAUGUAUCUAGAGAGAAA